GGACUACAGGGGUAUCUAAUCCUGUUUGCUCCCCACGCUUUCGUGUCUCAGCGUCAGUACUCGUCCAGUUGGCCGCCUUCGCCACCGGUGUUCCUCUCGAUAUCUACGAAUUUCACCUCUACACCGAGAAUUCCACCAACCUCUCCGGUACUCAAGCAACGCAGUUUCGGGUGCACUUCCUGGGUUGAGCCCAGGGAUUUCACAUCCGACUUGCAUCGCAGCCUACACACGCUUUACGCCCAGUAAUUCCGAACAACGUUUGCACCCUCUGUCUUACCGCGGCUGCUGGCAC
RNAcentral lists this ribosomal RNA (292 nucleotides) under uncultured bacterium. RNAcentral's name for it is "partial 16S ribosomal RNA". The record is from RNAcentral.